This 444-nucleotide ribosomal RNA is filed under the name uncultured bacterium. RNAcentral describes it as "SSU rRNA". It matches the Rfam family "Bacterial small subunit ribosomal RNA", at positions 26 to 518 of the family's 1533-position model. The record is from RNAcentral.
AGAGCGAACGCUGGCGGCAGGCCUAACACAUGCAAGUCGAGCGCCCCGCAAGGGGAGCGGCAGACGGGUGAGUAACGCGUGGGAACAUACCCUCCGGUUCGGAAUAGCUCAGGGAAACUUGGAUUAAUACCGGAUACGGCCUAGCGGCGAAAGAUUGAUCGCCGGAGGAUUGGCCCGCGUCUGAUUAGCUAGUUGGUGGGGUAAUGGCCCACCAAGGCGACGAUCAGUAGCUGGUCUGAGAGGAUGAUCAGCCACAUUGGGACUGAGACACGGCCCAAACUCCUACGGGAGGCAGCAGUGGGGAAUAUUGGACAAUGGGCGCAAGCCUGAUCCAGCCAUGCCGCGUGAGUGAUGACGGCCUUAGGGUUGUAAAGCUCUUUCGCUAGGGACGAUAAUGACGGUACCUAGACAAGAACGCCCGGCUAACUUCGCGCCAGCAGCCGC